Molecule: ribosomal RNA, 253 nt
Filed under: uncultured bacterium
Lineage: Bacteria
Description: partial 16S ribosomal RNA
Rfam family: Bacterial small subunit ribosomal RNA
Source: RNAcentral
UACGGAGGAUGCAAGCGUUAUCCGGAAUGAUUGGGCGUAAAGCGUCCGCAGGUGGCAAUGUAAGUCUGCUGUCAAAGCGUCUGGCUCAACCAGAUAAAGGCAGUGGAAACUACAUAGCUAGAGUAAGGUAGGGGUAGAGGGAAUUCCUGGUGUAGCGGUGAAAUGCGUAGAGAUCAGGAAGAACACCGGUGGCGAAAGCGGCUCUCUGGGACGGUACUGACGCUGAGACGCGAAAGCGUGGGGAGCAAACAGG